AUGAAUGCACUCUUUAUAACAGCAUAUACAGUUGCGAACCAAUUUGCGGAUUUUGGGAAUGGGAAAGGGAAUCAGAUUGGAGUUAGGGAUAAUAAGCUGAAUGAGUUAGGGUUAGGUUUUGCUGCUCAAAUUGUUGCUAAUCAGUUUGCGGAUUUUGGAAAUGGUAAAGGGAAUCAGAUUGGAGUUAGGGAUGGUUUUGGUUUGAAUCAAACUAAUUUUACUAGCUCUGUUGCUGCUGAUGAUAGGAUGAAGUCAGGGAAAUGA
Molecule: non-coding RNA, 264 nt
Organism: Vicia faba (fava bean)
Lineage: Eukaryota; Viridiplantae; Streptophyta; Magnoliopsida; Fabales; Fabaceae
Source: the annotation of a GenBank genome assembly